UCUUUUCAUCUCUCUUUUCUAUUUUCGAACCUUUUUCCUAUUAUCUGAACUUUUUCAUCUUACAACUCAAAUCCAUUGGGUUUUUCUCUAGAAACGAAAAUGGCUUGGUGGAAUACCGAAUCCCCCAAGCUCAAAGCCAACCCCAUUGAGUUUUCAUUAUUGUUCUUUGAUUGAAUUUGGUGGGUGGCCGGCGGCAACAAGAAGGUAGCAAAUAGUUGCCGACGGCAGUGGAGCAACAAGAAGGCAGCAAACGUUUGGCUUUUUCUUUUCAUGUUAUUUUUUUUAUUUUCUGUGUGUCAAAUGCAAAAAACGAUUUGACCCAUUUUUACCGGUUCAUGGUUUAAAAGCGUUUUGACCCAUUUUUUAAUUUAUCAUCGGAUUGGUUUAUUGACCGGUUUUUAAUCCGACCAAUCCGUUCGGUUUACCGAUUGAUUACCGGGUAUACUGGCUGGUCCAGUCCGAUUCUGAAAGCAUUGCCAAUUUUGCUAGUUUCACAGAGAUGAUACACCCAUCGAUUGAUUUGAGUGGCAAAUAUAACGAUUUUGUGUAUGUCUAGGGUCAUCCAUGCCUCCACAAUCACAAACCCUAAAGCGUGUGUGCCUGAAAAGCUUUAAACCAUUUCCCUAGUCGCUAACACAUUACUAUCUAGUGACUUUUGAUGGACUCAGCUGCCAUGUGCACCCGCCAAAAUUGAUACCCAUCACUUAUCUGCCUAAGCCACUGGACAUGAUUUUUCGCAAAAGUGGGCAACUUUUGUAAAGUGCUCUCACAUUAGGAGAAAGCCGCAAAUCCUUAGGCCCUUAACCCAUUUUCGUAAAUCCUAAAAAGAGCGAGUUGGUGGCAUCAAGUAUCUACAUGCAUCGAAGAAGAAGAAAACUCCAAACCUUGAGUUUUGUACUUCUUUUUUCACUUGACAACUAUUUCAAAGCACUGACAACAUUUUACUUAUUUUCUUAAGCUGUAAAUGAUAACCAUUAGAUGUAAUUGAAAAACGAAA
RNAcentral lists this long non-coding RNA (997 nucleotides) under Gossypium barbadense (sea-island cotton). RNAcentral's name for it is "long non-coding RNA (GBAR_LNC020217)". Lineage: Eukaryota; Viridiplantae; Streptophyta; Magnoliopsida; Malvales; Malvaceae. The record is from RNAcentral.